GAUGAACGCUGGCGGCGUGCCUAAUACAUGCAAGUCGAGCGAACGGACGAGAAGCUUGCUUCUCUGAUGUUAGCGGCGGACGGGUGAGUAACACGUGGAUAACCUACCUAUAAGACUGGGAUAACUUCGGGAAACCGGAGCUAAUACCGGAUAAUAUUUUGAACCUCAUGGUUCAAAAGUGAAAGACGGUCUUGCUGUCACUUAUAGAUGGAUCCGCGCUGCAUUAGCUAGUUGGUAAGGUAACGGCUUACCAAGGCAACGAUGCAUAGCCGACCUGAGAGGGUGAUCGGCCACACUGGAACUGAGACACGGUCCAGACCCCUACGGGAGGCAGCAGUAGGGAAUCUUCCGCAAUGGGCGAAAGCCUGACGGAGCAACGCCGCGUGAGUGAUGAAGGUCUUCGGAUCGUAAAACUCUGUUAUUAGGGAAGAACAUAUGUGUAAGUAACUGUGCACAUCUUGACGGUACCUAAUCAGAAAGCCACGGCUAACUACGUG
RNAcentral lists this ribosomal RNA (497 nucleotides) under uncultured bacterium. RNAcentral describes it as "partial 16S ribosomal RNA". It matches the Rfam family "Bacterial small subunit ribosomal RNA", at positions 28 to 507 of the family's 1533-position model. The record is from RNAcentral.